Molecule: ribosomal RNA, 253 nt
Filed under: uncultured bacterium
Lineage: Bacteria
Description: partial 16S ribosomal RNA
Rfam family: Bacterial small subunit ribosomal RNA
Source: RNAcentral
UACGGAAGGGGCGAGCGUUGUUCGGAAUCAUUGGGCGUAAAGGGCGCGUAGGUGGUUCUGUAUGUCUACCGUGAAAGCGUACGGCUCAACCGUAUUUUGUCGGUAGAAACUGCAGGACUUGAGGCUGGGAGGGGCUGGUGGAAUUCCCUGUGUAGCGGUGAAAUGCGUAGAGAUGGGGGAGAACACUCGUGGCGAAGGCGGCCAGCUGGACCGGUUCUGACGCUGAGGCGCGAAAGCGUGGGUAGCAAACAGG